AACCUUCUGGUCAAUUCUCAAGAUCCUUUCCAGGUUAUGACAUCGCGAUAUCAUGAACCUUGUUGGGUACUGCUGCAAUGGCACUUCUCUGUUUCUGCUCUUUGACUACACUUGUAUGGGUAUCAUUGAAAUCCAAUUUCAAUAUAAGCAACAUCUUCUGCUAUUGGAAAAAAAAUAUAUAUAUAAUUUUGCAUUGCGUGUGACUUAAUAUAUGUACAUGUCCUUGUUUGGGUAACAAACUUAAAACUGAGCUUCUAAUUGAGUUCACAGGUGAUGAUGCUGCUAAGAACAUGCCAGGGGAACCUAGGUGGUAUAUAGCUCUCGAAAUAGGUGGAAGUUUACUAUAUCUUCACGAGGAGUUUGUUGAUGGAGCCAUUGCGAUGCUCACUGUGUCGUGUUCUAAUGUUGCCAUUUUUCAUGGUGGUGGUACCAUGCUUGGAGGAAGAUAAAUACCUCUCUAUGGAUAUACAUUCCUGUGGGAUCUUGCUCCUUGAGCUCAUUAGGGGAAAGAGUGAUUGUGUUUUCUGAGACCAUAACAAGGGUAAUCUCUCAUAUACUGGGCAUUACCACUUUUAGAAAAUGGUUGCUUGAGUGAGGUCAUGGAUCCAAGAUUACUGAGGUGGUAUAUCAUAUGGCACAAGCUGCUCUUCUUUGCCUGAAAAGUGAUUCAGGCCACAGAUUUUUUGAGUGAGGUUUUAACUGUUGUUCGAGGUGACCAACUUGUAACAAGGGAUUGCUAAAGUUCCUCAAAAGGGAGUCAACCAAAUACCAGUUCUUGUUCUGUAUAAAUAAAAUGUUAAAGAAGGAUAUAAUGCUACAAGUUAUUGUAUAUGUAAGGAUUCAUGAAGAUUUGAUUUG
Tripterygium wilfordii is the source of this 858-nucleotide long non-coding RNA. RefSeq lists it as uncharacterized. NCBI's taxonomy places the organism in Eukaryota, Viridiplantae, Streptophyta, Magnoliopsida, Celastrales, Celastraceae. The record is from RefSeq and is a predicted model, not a curated record. The transcript is spliced from 4 exons.